AAACAGGAUUAGAUACCCUGGUAGUCCAUGCCGUAAACGAUGUCUACUAGCCGUUGGGGCCUUUGAGGCUUUAGUGGCGCAGCUAACGCGAUAAGUAGACCGCCUGGGGAGUACGGUCGCAAGACUAAAACUCAAAUGAAUUGACGGGGGCCCGCACAAGCGGUGGAGCAUGUGGUUUAAUUCGAUGCAACGCGAAGAACCUUACCUGGCCUUGACAUACUAGAAACUUUCCAGAGAUGGAUUGGUGCCUUCGGGAAUCUAGAUACAGGUGCUGCAUGGCUGUUGUCAGCUCGUGUCGUGAGAUGUUGGGUUAAGUCCCGCAACGAGCGCAACCCUUUUCUUUACUUGCCAGCAUUCGGAUGGAACU
RNAcentral lists this ribosomal RNA (367 nucleotides) under Acinetobacter sp. COL4. RNAcentral's name for it is "bacterial SSU rRNA". It matches the Rfam family "Bacterial small subunit ribosomal RNA", at positions 770 to 1139 of the family's 1533-position model. Lineage: Bacteria; Pseudomonadati; Pseudomonadota; Gammaproteobacteria; Moraxellales; Moraxellaceae. The record is from RNAcentral.